This 696-nucleotide long non-coding RNA is filed under the name Phasianus colchicus (ring-necked pheasant). Its description in RNAcentral is "lncRNA (ENSPCLG00000016991.1)". Lineage: Eukaryota; Metazoa; Chordata; Aves; Galliformes; Phasianidae. The record is from RNAcentral.
AGUCUGUAUACUCUUGGGUGCAAGCUGCCUCUAUAUUCCAGUACCUCUUAUGAUGCUACCUGUGUAACUGUAAACAGACAUCUAACAUAUGGUCUGAAAAUUAGACGUAAAGUACCUAUGAAAAUGGCUCCUAAAUGCAAGACUGUGAAGACCAAUGAUACAAUAAGCAGAAUAAAUCAUCUAUUGAUAAAUCUCUCAGUCAACAGAAAGCUCCAUUUGACUGUACAGUGAAAAGUGUAUAAUUUCUGCUUUUCCUUAAAAAGAUACACAUGUGUUAUGAAUCUCUUUUGUUGGGUAUCACAAUACAGUAAAAAAAAAAAAGAAAAGAACAAUAUUAUACAAUGUUAUUAAAAAAGUUGAUCAAAUUAUAUAACAAUUCUGCCCACACACAUUCACUGUACUGUACUCAGUACAGACCCAUACAAGAUCACAAAAUAUGCAAUUUAUAGAACCUGCCAUAAAUAACUGUCUAACAAUAGUGCUCUUAAAAUAUGUAUUUAGAGAAAGAAUACAAGGCCAAAUUUUGUGCCCAGCACUUAAUUUUUAAAGUGAAAUAUUUUCUACAUUUUACUCAUCCAGGAGAUUACUGGUUUUCUAUCGAGUAAUGCAUUUUGCUGCUGCUUUUGUGUAACAAUUAUGAAGAAAUGUGCUUCUAUUUGAAUUUUUUGAAUCUUUCAAUGAUUAUGCAGUUUUCAA